GCAGCUGGCCGGCCAUGUCGACGUGUCAGAGUCUGUAAUCACAGAGGAGACGUUUGAUGCACUUGUGCAGCUUUCUGAGGCCUCCCACUUAAAAAACACUGCAGUAAGUGCACUGCAGCUUCACCUCACUGACAGACCACCACAGCCCCCAUGCUGAGACGCCUCCGGGUUGCAGAGUCCCAGCACCACCAAGUGGAGGAUCUGAGUAUUGCACUCUGUGGUGGACGACGGCAGGGUUUCCAGAGAUGUGGAAGGAGGAUCCAAGAGUCUGAGGACUGGAGUUGCAGACAUGGGAUCCUCAAGAAUUGGUUCUCACAUUCCAAUCCUUAUGAUUUGAAUCCUGAUGGAAAAGCCCAAGAUCCUGGAUGCAUGUGGCUGAAGUGAGCUCCCUCCUUAGGGUGGCUGUUUGAGGCACCAAGUGUAAAAAGUACUAACAUGUUUUCAUUAUUGAACUCACUUUCUGAGUAGGUAAAAAAUAUCCACUAACAUUUUAGUAUUUAGCUUACUGUUCUUAAAUUUUGUUAAUUUUUAUUAAA
Molecule: long non-coding RNA, 536 nt
Organism: Austrofundulus limnaeus
Lineage: Eukaryota; Metazoa; Chordata; Actinopteri; Cyprinodontiformes; Rivulidae
Exons: 4
Source: RefSeq, a predicted model, not a curated record